Long non-coding RNA from Tigriopus californicus, 860 nucleotides. RefSeq lists it as uncharacterized. The record is from RefSeq and is a predicted model, not a curated record. The transcript is spliced from 2 exons. Lineage: Eukaryota; Metazoa; Arthropoda; Copepoda; Harpacticoida; Harpacticidae.
CAUGAGAGGAAAAGAGAUGGUCUUAUUAACUUUUCAUGGAUAUUGGAGGAUGAGAAGUUCUCCUCUCAAUUUGGAACAUGGAACACGCAUCGCCAGUCAUUCAAAGCCAGUGAGCUGACAUAGAAAGGUUAUCGUAGUUGUGAGUGACAAAGUGCAGUUUUAGCAAAUCCACAAGAUGGCAGCCAUUAUCGCUCAAAUGACUCGUGCAAAUCGGGAGCGAAAGAAAAAGAAACGCAUCGAGAUCAGCAAAUGUAUGUACGACUUACCACCGUUUGACAACCACUUCGAAGCCCAGUUGCACAACAAAUACUUUCGUGCGAAAAAAGCCACAGCUGAGAAGUCGAAUGCGCUUAAAUUCCACGAGGCUGUGCGAAAUCGCUUGGACGACCUGGUCGAUCAAGCGGAGGAAGGGCACGAAUUUAGAUGGAGGAAUGAAAUCCAUUCACAUUUUCUGACAAGGCUUGCCAUAUCCAGCCAAACGAUUUCCUCUUACAAUAUUCAGAGUAUAAUUCGCAGAGUCAAUUCCAAAGAUUCUAGGAGUCAAGGAUAAGCUGUGUUUCUUUGAAUAUUAUGAUUGCAUGUUGUGGCCAUGUUCCAAGGACAUGAGACAUGGAUUUUAUGGGAUCUUGUCAGAAAAUGAUUGCCGUUCUCAUUCAGCCUGUUUUGCCUGGAGGUCGGAAUCCUCGCCUUCUCCCUUGGUCUGGUUCCCACACUGAUGCUUGUGGUCGAGGCAACGUGGCCUUCGACCCCGAUCUACGAGAUGACCAAUAAUAUCUCAUCCCCAAUAUCAUCAUUAUGAUCGUCUGAAGCUGUUUUUGUGGCCUUGAAUUAGAUCUUGGAGUGAGAUUUCUGGCGAUAAA